Molecule: ribosomal RNA, 254 nt
Filed under: uncultured bacterium
Lineage: Bacteria
Description: partial 16S ribosomal RNA
Rfam family: Bacterial small subunit ribosomal RNA
Source: RNAcentral
CGUAGGUGGCAAGCGUUAUCCGGAAUUAUUGGGGCGUAAAGCGCGCGCAGGUGGUUUCUUAAGUCUGAUGUGAAAGCCCACGGCUCAACCGUGGAGGGUCAUUGGAAACUGGGAGACUUGAGUGCAGAAGAGGAAAGUGGAAUUCCAUGUGUAGCGGUGAAAUGCGUAGAGAUAUGGAGGAACACCAGUGGCGAAGGCGACUUUCUGGUCUGUAACUGACACUGAGGCGCGAAAGCGUGGGAGCAAACAGGAUU